AAAGUUGCCGUGGAUCCUCAAGUGAAGGCGUUGGAUGGCAAGGCCUACGACAUUCUGUAUGUCGGGACAGACGACGGCCGAGUUCUCAAAGCGCUCAACACUCGUGCACCGGAUUCACUGAGCAAUGUUAGCCAGGUCAUCGUAAGCGACGUUCAAGUGCUGAAGUAUGGACAAGCGAUCAAGGAUCUGUUGGUGGUCCACCUGGCCGGCGAGGCGAGCAAGUUGGUCGUGUUUGCUGACUCCGAAAUUCGCGCGGUACCACUGCACCAUUGCGAUGCCCCUGCGGCGGCCACCUGCGCGUCUUGCGUCGGUCUUCAGGAUCCUCACUGUGCCUGGGACGCGACCAAGAAUCUGUGUGUGGCCGUGUCGACGAAACUGCACGACAGCGACGCCGACAAAACCCUGUUCCAGGACAUUGUGAACGGGAGACACAAAGGAUGCGGCUACGAGCCAGGUAAUUCUCGUUUAUGUAAACUCGACUUAGUAGGGUUGAAACGUUUCGAGGCUCGAUUACCGACGAUCAUUAUGAAACGUUAUCGACCGCGCGUCUC
This is a long non-coding RNA of Apis laboriosa (Himalayan honeybee), 551 nucleotides long. RefSeq lists it as uncharacterized. Lineage: Eukaryota; Metazoa; Arthropoda; Insecta; Hymenoptera; Apidae. The transcript has 3 exons. The record is from RefSeq and is a predicted model, not a curated record.